GGCGGGGUAGCUCAGCCGGUUAGAGCACGUGAUUCAUAACCACGAGGUCGGGAGUUCGAGUCUCCCCCCCGCUACCA
This 77-nucleotide transfer RNA is filed under the name Acidobacteriota bacterium. RNAcentral's name for it is "Acidobacteria bacterium (soil metagenome) tRNA-Met". It matches the Rfam family "tRNA". Rfam says of the family: Transfer RNA (tRNA) molecules are approximately 80 nucleotides in length. The record is from RNAcentral. RNAcentral also lists the same sequence under 1 other name. Lineage: Bacteria; Pseudomonadati; Acidobacteriota.